Cimex lectularius (bed bug) is the source of this 591-nucleotide long non-coding RNA. RefSeq lists it as uncharacterized. The record is from RefSeq and is a predicted model, not a curated record. The transcript is spliced from 2 exons. NCBI's taxonomy places the organism in Eukaryota, Metazoa, Arthropoda, Insecta, Hemiptera, Cimicidae.
AGUUGAAAGUCGGUAGCUUGUCGGUGUGCAAAGAUGGGAGGGGACACGACUGUUUUUUCAAUGGAAAUGCAUACGGUGUACAUUUUUCCUCAUUUAGUCUUGUCCUCCACUGUUUGCACUAGUUUAGACAACUCACUAGUAGAGCUUGAUAAAAUCAAGGUGUUCUUCGAUGUUCGAGGUUUCAUGGAUAGGAUUUCGGUUUGAAAACAGAAUAGCAUGAUCACUCUCAUACCUUUUAUUUUAUAGUUUUGGGGUGUACAGGUUGCGUUGGAGGGUGACUCAAUGGAACAAUCCUAUUUUAAGAGAUUUUUCAAACACUCCUACAUAAUAUGGCAUCGACCCAACAGGAACAGCGAGAACCGGCGGACCGGAGAAAUUACUCGAUUUUUACUCUUGGUACAUGUUUUCUUUAUUAGAUAUCUUUCAAUUGAUUUAUUAAUGAACCAGUUACACACUACAAACCAUUUUUGUUAUAAGCAGCAUGCAAUUUAUAAGCACCCUAGAGUGCUUAGAAUGCAUACAUAGUAUGCAGCAUGUACUAACAUGUCAAUUUAUCUGAUUUUGGAAUUAUAAAAUGAGAGAAAUAUUCUG